Molecule: non-coding RNA, 2635 nt
Organism: Cinara cedri
Lineage: Eukaryota; Metazoa; Arthropoda; Insecta; Hemiptera; Aphididae
Source: the annotation of a GenBank genome assembly
UUUUUUUAAUUAAUUUACAAGUUUGAUAAUGUUUACAAUAGAUUGUUAAAAGAGUUUACAAUAUGAUUUGACUGAAACUAGAGUUUGUUAAUUAGAUUGUUUAUGGUGAUGGAUUUGAUGAUUUCCAGAGUUUGUUCUACGUCGAGGAUUUCAUUGAUGUAGCGCGGGAGGUUGAGAAGUGUGAAAGUAGGUUCAUGUAUAGGACAUUCUUCAAAGAUGUGUUUUAUAGUGACUAUAUUGCACAUAGGUGGUCUUUACUUGUAAGAAAGGAGCGUGUAAGAAAAGUGUGGCUGAUUCUUAUACGAGUGAUGGCAAUAUUUUGGCGUCGGCUGAGAUUUGGAAGAGACGAGUGUACCACUGUUUCACUGAACUUUUGAUGACCUUUAGAUUGUUAGUGUGUGGAAUUGUGGAACUGAGUCCCAACGGUGUUGCCAAGACAUGAGGGUUUUAUUUUUGAUUGAUAAGAAUAUGUCAUUGGAAGAUAUUUUAUCAAUGGUGUUAUUAGAUAAAUUAUUACUAGCUAUGGAAGCUGCUUCGUCUGCCGUUUCGUUUCCCUUUAUUCCUACAUGGGAAGGUACCUACAUGAAGUCGAUGUUUUUCUGAGUGUCUGUUAGUACAGAUUGGGUUAUUUGGGUGAUUUCGUUUUUGGCUCUGGGUUUUUAAGUGCUGUUAGAAAGCUGAGGGAAUCACUGAUAAUUAAAAUAUUAUUGGUUAGGAGUGAUUGCUAAUUUAAUUUAAUAUUAUAUGUAUUCAUGAAAAUUAAAAAUAAUAAAGUUUCCAAAGACCAAAAUGUACAAUCGAUUAGAGUGAGUGGGUCGCGGUGUAGUGUAAUAGUGCACCAGUGUACCGCAUUGCCGCCUGUAACCACAUAUACCAACCAAAGAAAAUAACUAAAAUAAAAAAGAUCUGAUACUGGGGAUGGGAGUGGCCACUGUUGUAGGUGAGAAGUUGAGAAGGUACGAUACAUAGAGUUAUUUCAUUUAUCUGUAAGCAACGAUAAACCAUUGCUUAACAAAAGACGAUUCCAAGCGCAGUUCGGUAAUACAUAAUUUCAAAUGCCAUAAUUUUUUUUGCGAUUUACGUUUAAAUUUAAUUUCAAAACGCUAAUUAAAAAAAAAAGUCGUCCGAUGAUUUUUGAAAUUUCAGCAUAUCUAAGUAAGUCCAAUAUAAGUAUUAUUAUCAAGUUUCAAGUCUCUAUGUGUAUUUAUAAUCGAAUUACAGCAAAAAACUAUCAAAAAUUAAAAUUCCUUAGGAAGCUCAAAAGUUUUGGUGAUGAAACCGUAAGUAAAUUAAAAAGGCGACAAAAAAGGUGUUUUAUGAUUUUUCGAUUGAAUCAUUUUUUCUGAUAAAAAACGUCGGUGUUUUUAUAAAAUAAUGAAUCGUGAAAUUGUACGUUUUCCUACGAUUUUUCCUACUUAAGUGCUUUUAUUUAAAAAAUUUAGUCAAAAUAAAAAUAAAUAAAUAUAUUAGUAAAACCGAUAGCUCCCUUGCUACGCUCGGAAUAUAAAAUAGACCAUCCGAUAACAAAUACCUAGAAUACUACUAUGAUUAUGAUACAAUAUCAUGUUAUUAUGGAUAUACCUAUUGUAUUUGGCCGUUUUAUGUUCUACAUAAUAUUUUCAUCCAUUAUCAAAAUAAAAAUGUAAUAUUAUUACACGGAUAUUAUUAUAAUAUAGAUAUUUGUGUAUUAUUAUUAAAUAUAUUAUUAACCGAAAUGUGUUAUUAGUUUUAAAAUGAUUUUAGUAUUACCUACCGUUUUUAAAAAUCUGCGAGUUUGAAAUCGUGCACAACUCGGCCCAUAAGAAAACUCUUUAGAAAAUAUAAGAACUUUAGUUAUCUUAUAGCCGUUUCGAAGUAUAAACUGACAGUUUAUAAAUUAAAUUACCUACCUAUUGUAAUAUUCUUAAGUAGGUAUCUACCGUGGUAAUUAUUUUACGUGCAACUUUGGUAGGUAACCAUAGACAAUUAUUAUUAUAUAUUAAUUAAUAUAAUAAUUCAUUUUAUAUUUUACCGAAAUACGAUUGUUUCGUUUACACAUUUUAUUUAAGUUUAAUAUAUAUUUCUUGUCAAAUACAAGUACAGUAGUAAAUUUGUGACUUACGUUGAUUUUUUUUUUUUUUUAUGACCGGAAAUAAAAAUAAUUCAUAACGCUAAUGUAUUGAUAUCGGCGAUUUACGAUUCCGCAUUCGCCACGAACCCGAGCGAAAUUUCUUUUCUAUAUAGACGUUGUGGCCAUUUUGGUCGUGAAAAUCACGCGGUCGUCAAGAUUAUUGUCAUUAGUUGACGGACGUAUUUUUGGUAAAAUGAUCAGCGGUAGAGUACCUAGAUGAUGAUAACUAUAGGCUCACCAUAGUCAGUGGUACAGUGGGCAGGACCGGCUUAGAAAAUAUCGAGACUUUGUACAGUCAUUUUUACAGGGCCUCAAUAAGCUUUUUUUUUUUUCAUUUUUUCACGUUCUUAUACCACGCGUAGGUGAAUCUUUACAAUACAAUUCUUCUUAGUCCGUUAAUUUUAAAUUUGUUUUUUCCUAAAUAAUUUGUAAAAUACCUAUUUAUUUAGCUAUGAUUAAACGAGGGAACCUCCAAAAGCGCGGAGCUAUGUGCAAGUGCACAGUUUGCACCGCCUUCAAACGGGC